RNAcentral lists this ribosomal RNA (478 nucleotides) under uncultured bacterium. Its description in RNAcentral is "partial 16S ribosomal RNA". It matches the Rfam family "Bacterial small subunit ribosomal RNA", at positions 28 to 523 of the family's 1533-position model. The record is from RNAcentral.
GACGAACGCUGGCGGCGUGCUUAACACAUGCAAGUCGAACGGUAAGGCCCUUCGGGGUACACGAGUGGCGAACGGGUGAGUAACACGUGGGUGAUCUGCCCUGCACUUCGGGAUAAGCCUGGGAAACUGGGUCUAAUACCGGAUAGGACCACUGCCUGCAUGGGUGGUGGUGGAAAGCUUUUGCGGUGUGGGGUGGGCCCGCGGCCUAUCAGCUUGUUGGUGGGGUGAUGGCCUACCAAGGCGACGGCGGGUAGCCGGCCUGGGAGGGUGACCGGCCACACUGGGACUGAGAUACGGCCCAGACUCCUACGGGAGGCAGCAGUGGGGAAUAUUGCACAAUGGGCGCAAGCCUGAUGCAGCGACGCCGCGUGAGGGAUGACGGCCUUCGGGUUGUAAACCUCUUUCAGCACCGACGAAGCGCAAGUGACGGUAGGUGCAGAAGAAGGACCGGCCAACUACGUGCCAGCCGCCGCUGUAA